This 418-nucleotide ribosomal RNA is filed under the name uncultured bacterium. RNAcentral's name for it is "bacterial SSU rRNA". It matches the Rfam family "Bacterial small subunit ribosomal RNA", at positions 393 to 825 of the family's 1533-position model. The record is from RNAcentral.
GACGCCGCGUGAGGGAUGAAGGCCUUCGGGUUGUAAACCUCUUUAGCAGGGAAGAAGCGCAGUGACGGUACCUGCAGAAGAAGCGCCGGCUAACUACGUGCCAGCAGCCGCGGUAAUACGUAGGGCGCAAGCGUUGUCCGGAUUUAUUGGGCGUAAAGAGCUCGUAGGCGGUUUGUCGCGUCUGCUGUGAAAACCUGGGGCUUAACUCCGGGCCUGCAGUGGGUACGGGCAGACUAGAGUGCGGAAGGGGAGACUGAAAUUCCUGGUGUAGCGGUGAAAUGCGCAGAUAUCAGGAGGAACACCGGUGGCGAAGGCGGGUCUCUGGGCCGUAACUGACGCUGAGGAGCGAAAGCGUGGGGAGCGAACAGGAUUAGAUACCCUGGUAGUCCACGCCGUAAACGUUGGGCGCUAGGUGUGG